Molecule: small nuclear RNA, 107 nt
Organism: Molossus molossus (Pallas's mastiff bat)
Lineage: Eukaryota; Metazoa; Chordata; Mammalia; Chiroptera; Molossidae
Source: RefSeq, a predicted model, not a curated record
GACAUAUUUGGUUGUUGUUUUUAAAUUUUCCUUUCCUGAUACAGAGAAGAUUAGCAUGGUCCCUGUGCAAGGAUGACACGCAAAUUUGUGAAGCGGUCCAUAUUUAU